RNAcentral lists this ribosomal RNA (628 nucleotides) under Pseudomonas sp. J23. RNAcentral's name for it is "bacterial SSU rRNA". It matches the Rfam family "Bacterial small subunit ribosomal RNA", at positions 74 to 698 of the family's 1533-position model. The record is from RNAcentral. Lineage: Bacteria; Pseudomonadati; Pseudomonadota; Gammaproteobacteria; Pseudomonadales; Pseudomonadaceae.
AAGAGCUUGCUCUUCGAUUCAGCGGCGGACGGGAGAGUAAUGCCUAGGAAUCUGCCUGGUAGUGGGGGACAACGUUUCGAAAGGAACGCUAAUACCGCAUACGUCCUACGGGAGAAAGCAGGGGACCUUCGGGCCUUGCGCUAUCAGAUGAGCCUAGGUCGGAUUAGCUAGUUGGUGGGGUAAUGGCUCACCAAGGCGACGAUCCGUAACUGGUCUGAGAGGAUGAUCAGUCACACUGGAACUGAGACACGGUCCAGACUCCUACGGGAGGCAGCAGUGGGGAAUAUUGGACAAUGGGCGAAAGCCUGAUCCAGCCAUGCCGCGUGUGUGAAGAAGGUCUUCGGAUUGUAAAGCACUUUAAGUUGGGAGGAAGGGCAGUAAGCGAAUACCUUGCUGUUUUGACGUUACCGACAGAAUAAGCACCGGCUAACUCUGUGCCAGCAGCCGCGGUAAUACAGAGGGUGCAAGCGUUAAUCGGAAUUACUGGGCGUAAAGCGCGCGUAGGUGGUUUGUUAAGUUGAAUGUGAAAGCCCCGGGCUCAACCUGGGAACUGCAUCCAAAACUGGCAAGCUAGAGUACGGUAGAGGGUGGUGGAAUUUCCUGUGUAGCGGUGAAAUGCGUAGAUAUA